This 500-nucleotide ribosomal RNA is filed under the name uncultured bacterium. RNAcentral describes it as "partial 16S ribosomal RNA". It matches the Rfam family "Bacterial small subunit ribosomal RNA", at positions 30 to 523 of the family's 1533-position model. The record is from RNAcentral.
AUUGAACGCUGGCGGAAUGCUUUACACAUGCAAGUCGAACGGCAGCACGGACUUCGGUCUGGUGGCGAGUGGCGAACGGGUGAGUAAUGUAUCGGAACGUGCCCAGUCGUGGGGGAUAACGUAGUGAAAAUUACGCUAAUACCGCAUACGAUCUAUGGAUGAAAGCGGGGGAUCGCAAGACCUCGCGCGAUUGGAGCGGCCGAUAUCAGAUUAGGUAGUUGGUGGGGUAAAGGCCCACCAAGCCAACGAUCUGUAGCUGGUCUGAGAGGACGGGCAGCCACACUGGAACUGAGACGCGGUCCAGACUCCUACGGGAGGCAGCAGUGGGGAAUUUUGGACAAUGGGCGAAAGCCUGAUCCAGCCAUUCCGCGUGCAGGAUGAAGGCCCUCGGGUUGUAAACUGCUUUUGUACAGAACGAAAAGGUUUCUACUAAUACUAGGAGCUCAUGACGGUACUGUAAGAAUAAGCACCGGCUAACUACGUGCCAGCCGCCGCGGUAA